This 253-nucleotide ribosomal RNA is filed under the name uncultured bacterium. RNAcentral's name for it is "partial 16S ribosomal RNA". It matches the Rfam family "Bacterial small subunit ribosomal RNA", at positions 524 to 776 of the family's 1533-position model. The record is from RNAcentral.
UACGAAGGGGGCUAGCGUUGUUCGGAAUCACUGGGCGUAAAGGGCGCGUAGGCGGCCGAUCAAGUCGGGGGUGAAAGCCUGUGGCUCAACCACAGAAUUGCCUUCGAUACUGUUUGGCUUGAGACCGGAAGAGGUUAGUGGAACUGCGAGUGUAGAGGUGAAAUUCGUAGAUAUUCGCAAGAACACCAGUGGCGAAGGCGGCUGACUGGUCCGGUUCUGACACUGAGGCGCGAAGGCGUGGGGAGCGAACGGG